GGAUCACAUUAUAAUUAUAGCUCCGGCGUUUAGGGAUGGGCGUGCGGCUGAUUAGAUAGUUGGUAGGGUAACGGCCUACCAAGUCAACGAUCAGUAGCUGAUGUGAGAGCAUGAUCAGCCACACGGGCACUGAGACACGGGCCCGACUCCUACGGGAGGCAGCAGUGAGGAAUAUUGGUCAAUGGACGCAAGUCUGAACCAGCCAUGCCGCGUGGAGGAUGAAGGUCCUCUGGAUUGUAAACUUCUUUAUUGGGGAAGAAACCCCGUUUUUCUAAGCGGGUUGACGGUACCCAACGAAUAAGCACCGGCUAACUCCGUGCCAGCAGCCGCGGUAAUACGGAGGGUGCAAGCGUUAUCCGGAUUCACUGGGUUUAAAGGGUGCGUAGGCGGGCUUUUAAGUCAGUGGUGAAAUCCCAGAGCUUAACUCUGGAACUGCCAUUGAUACUGAAUGUCUUGAAUAUCCUGGAGGUAGGCGGAAUAUGUCAUGUAGCGGUGAAAUGCUUAGAUAUGACAUAGAACACCAAUUGCGAAGGCAGCUUACUACGGGACGAUUGACGCUGAUGCACGAAAGCGUGGGGAUCAAACAGGAUUAGAUACCCUGGUAGUCCACGCCCUAAACUAUGGAUACUCGACAUUGGCGAUAUACAGUCAGUGUCUGAGCGAAAGCAUUAAGUAUCCCACCUGGGAAGUACGAUCGCAAGAUAGAAACUCAAAGAAAUUGGCGGGGGUCCGCACAAGCGGUGGAGUAUGUGGUUUAAUUCGAUGAUACGCGAGGAACCUUACCUGGGCUAGAAUGUUUCAUGACCGGUAGUGAAAGCUACUUUUCUAGCAAUAGACAUGUUGCAAGGUGCUGCAUGGCUGUCGUCAGCUCGUGCCGUGAGGUGUUGGGUUAGGUCCCACAACGAGCGCAACCCCUAUCUUUAGUUGCCAGCACGUAAUGGUGGGAACUCUAAAGAAACUGCCGUCGUAAGACGCGAGGAAGGAGGGGACGAUGUCAAGUCAUCAUGGCCUUUAUGCCCAGGGCUACACACGUACUACAAUGGGCGCUACAAAGGGUCGCUACCUGGCAACAGGAUGCUAAUCUCAAAAAAGCGCUCUCAGUUCGGAUUGGGGUCUGCAACUCGACCCCAUGAAGCUGGAAUCGCUAGUAAUCGUAUAUCAGCAAUGAUACGGUGAAUACGUUCCCGGACCUUGCACACACCGCCCGUCAAACCAUGGGAGCUGGGUGUACCUAAAGUCGGUAACCGCAAGGAGCCGCCUAGGGUAAAACUAGUGACUGGGGUUAAGUCGUAACAAGGUA
Molecule: ribosomal RNA, 1300 nt
Filed under: metagenome
Description: bacterial SSU rRNA
Rfam family: Bacterial small subunit ribosomal RNA
Source: RNAcentral